Molecule: non-coding RNA, 29 nt
Filed under: Bombyx mori (domestic silkworm)
Lineage: Eukaryota; Metazoa; Arthropoda; Insecta; Lepidoptera; Bombycidae
Source: RNAcentral
UGGAAGAACAAGACACUCCUGAAGGGAUC